UCGAACUGGUGCGGAACGCAUCGUCUCCGUUGUAGUCGGCGAUGGUCGAGGGGCGGUUGUUGGUCUCGAUCAGAUCGACC
Molecule: transfer RNA, 80 nt
Filed under: Novosphingobium resinovorum
Lineage: Bacteria; Pseudomonadati; Pseudomonadota; Alphaproteobacteria; Sphingomonadales; Sphingomonadaceae
Description: tRNA-Tyr
Source: RNAcentral